Molecule: microRNA precursor, 104 nt
Filed under: Caenorhabditis remanei
Lineage: Eukaryota; Metazoa; Nematoda; Chromadorea; Rhabditida; Rhabditidae
Description: lin-4
Rfam family: lin-4 microRNA precursor family (bases 13-92)
About the family: The extents of the hairpin precursors are not generally known and are estimated based on hairpin prediction.
Source: RNAcentral
AUGUUCAGAUGCUUUCGGCCUGCUCCCUGAGACCUCAAGUGUGAGCGCACUGUUGAUGCUUCACGCCUGGGCUCUCUGGGUACCAGGACGGCUUGAGCAGACAU